AUGCGCCGCGGCGGCGGCGGCGGCCUGGAUAGCCCCGCCCCCUGCCGCCGCGCGU
This 55-nucleotide microRNA precursor is filed under the name Callithrix jacchus (white-tufted-ear marmoset). RNAcentral's name for it is "microRNA cja-mir-9984 precursor (cja-mir-9984-1)". The record is from miRBase by way of RNAcentral. Lineage: Eukaryota; Metazoa; Chordata; Mammalia; Primates; Cebidae.